AGCGUUAGAGGGCGACGCAGGCGUAACGCCGACCAUAGGAGCUUGCUCUUAUGAAGUUAGCGGCGGACGGGUGAGUAACACGUGGGUAACCUGCCCAUAAGACUGGGAUAACUCCGGGAAACCGGGGCUAAUACCGGAUAACAUUUUGAACCGCAUGGUUCGAAAUUGAAAGGCGGCUUCGGCUGUCACUUAUGGAUGGACCCGCGUCGCAUUAGCUAGUUGGUGAGGUAACGGCUCACCAAGGCAACGAUGCGUAGCCGACCUGAGAGGGUGAUCGGCCACACUGGGACUGAGACACGGCCCAGACUCCUACGGGAGGCAGCAGUAGGGAAUCUUCCGCAAUGGACGAAAGUCUGACGGAGCAACGCCGCGUGAGUGAUGAAGGCUUUCGGGUCGUAAAACUCUGUUGUUAGGGAAGAACAAGUGCUAGUUGAAUAAGCUGGCACCUUGACGGUACCUAACCAGAAAGCCACGGCUAACUACGUGCCAGCAGCCGCGGUAAUACGUAGGUGGCAAGCGUUAUCCGGAAUUAUUGGGCGUAAAGCGCGCGCAGGUGGUUUCUUAAGUCUGAUGUGAAAGCCCACGGCUCAACCGUGGAGGGUCAUUGGAAACUGGGAGACUUGAGUGCAGAAGAGGAAAGUGGAAUUCCAUGUGUAGCGGUGAAAUGCGUAGAGAUAUGGAGGAACACCAGUGGCGAAGGCGACUUUCUGGUCUGUAACUGACACUGAGGCGCGAAAGCGUGGGGAGCAAACAGGAUUAGAUACCCUGGUAGUCCACGCCGUAAACGAUGAGUGCUAAGUGUUAGAGGGUUUCCGCCCUUUAGUGCUGAAGUUAACGCAUUAAGCACUCCGCCUGGGGAGUACGGCCGCAAGGCUGAACUCAAAGGGAAUUGACGGGGGCCCGCACAAGCGGUGGAGCAUGUGGUUUAUUUCGAAGCAACGCGAAGAACCUAACCGGUUCUUACCUUCUUCUGCCACCCCUGAGGAAAGGCCUUCCCCUUCGGAACCAAAUUACCAGUUGGGCCAGGGUGUUCGUCAGUUCGGUUCGGGAAAGGUGGGGUUAAUUCCCCCAAGAAGCCCAACCUUUGUUUUUAUUUCCCUCCAUUAAGUUGGCCCUUUAAAGGGGACGCCGGGGGCCAACCCGAGGGAAGGUGGGAAGGAGUUCAAUUCUCCAUCCCCCUAUUACCUUGGGUUCCCCCCGGGUUCCAAUGGCCGUUCCAAAAAGUGCCAAGCCCGGAGGGGGGAGUAAUUUUCAAAAACCCUUUUCCAUUUGGGAUUUUAGGUGCCAAUUGCCUUCCAGGAAGCGGAAAUCGUUGGUAUUCGGGGUUCACCAGGCCCCGGGAAAAACUUUCCCGGCCUUAGGGUCCCCCCCCCCGGCACCCCCACAAGAGUUUUUUAGUCGAAACCGAUCCCGUGUGGUGACAUGCCGCCGCAUCGUGCCCGUAGAGUCCUUU
This 1453-nucleotide ribosomal RNA is filed under the name Bacillus cereus. RNAcentral describes it as "partial 16S ribosomal RNA". It matches the Rfam family "Bacterial small subunit ribosomal RNA". Lineage: Bacteria; Bacillati; Bacillota; Bacilli; Caryophanales; Bacillaceae. The record is from RNAcentral.